CCUUUGGUUAACCCGGCUUCCCCUCAGCUCGGCCCUGGGCAGCCCCGGCUCCCUCUGGGCAGCCCCGGCUCCCUCUGGGCAGCCCCGGCUCCCUUUGGUUAACCCGGCUCCCCCUCAGCUCGGCCCUGGGCAGCUCAGCUUGCCCUUGGCAGCUCGGGCCCGGGUGCUGGCUCCGGCUGAGCCCAGCGCUGUGUGAAACAUUGAGUUUGUCCCCCAGCUCAGGGCCGAGAAGAAUGCGCGGAAGGUUUGGGUUAGGGCAGUUCCUCUCUAGCGCUGAUAAUGAAGUCGUUAGAGGUUGUUUCUGAUUAGGUACAAUGUUUUCCACUUAGUCCCGCAGCCUGGAGUUUGAAAACGGAAAAACUAAAUUCCAACUCAUCUUGUUUAAUUAGUUGUUCUAAGGGAGCUUUUUAUGGUUUUCUUUUAUUUUUUUUUUUUCUUUUAAUUUUAUCAUGACAAAAAAUGUGACUUUAGCUGAACUCCUCUGAGGGGGGAUAUGAACUUUGAGCCUUCCUUUUUUUUUUUCCUUCUGUAAAGAGUUGGGGUCCUUGGAGGAUAGUAUUUUAUUUCCUGAUGAUGUAACUACAAAACAAUUCUCUUAAGUGAUGAUGGGAAGGCCAGAUGAAAUCUGAUUUUUUUUCUCUUCAAUGUUUUUUCUACAAACCCCUUUCCUUUUUUGUAUGUUUGUGUUUCAGCUAACACAAUUAAGCAGUCCAACCAACUAUAUUUAGUAAGAAGGUCUUGAAGAAAUGAGUAGUUUGUUUUAAUAUUUAAGAAAGAGGCAGAAAGCCAAAAAGUGGGAUUUAGAUUGAAGAACUUAAAAUGUAUCUCUUGUAUUCCCUGUCCUUUAGUGUACACCCUGAAUAAACAUUGACAACAGAAGGAAGAAAUACUGGAAACGAGCACAAAAUUUGUUAUUCAAAAUCCAGUGAGCAAUAAUGGGAGUCAGUGAAAUGUACUCCUUUUAUGUUGGUGGGUAAAUUAGACACUGGAAAGGCAUUCAGCACUAUUAAAGUAGUAGGUGCAUCCACAAUUAAUUUAUUUGCAGCAUUUGAAUUUUAGUCUUCAUCUCUAUAGCUUAAGCUGUUCUCUGCCUGCUUUUAGUGUAUUUUGUUAUAUUGAGCAUAAUGCUAACAAUAAGGGAAGUUACUUAUUUGGGGGUGUUGUCUGUAAGUAUGAAGGUAAAUGGUGAUUAAAGUGUUUGCAUUUCAUUAACAAGACAGAAAUAUACUAGCUAUGUUGCAUGUAUUUAUCCUGAGUGUAGUGUGAAAAAGGUACUUAUUCUUUAGUUGGAAAAUUCCAGGCAACCCCUUGCAUGGUUACUGAGUAAAGACUUCCUCAGAACUCUGCUGCUUAUUUGUAUGGAUGAUCCUGCUGUAUCCUCUUUGUAAGUUUCUGAGAAAGUUCAGAUUUGGGUGCCUCAUCAGAAAACUUUGAAAUUAUUUAAUACUAACCCUUCCCAAAUGGUUUUGGAGAUAGAAAACCAAGGGACAGACCAGGAUAAUAUUUUAUUUGCUAUUCCAGGGAGAGUUAAUAAUCUAAUCCAGACAAAAGCAAAAUGACCUGUCCUUUAGCUGAUAUUGACCUAUUCAGUUCCUUGGCUAAUGUUUUUGGAGGCUAACAGUUUUUCUAGCUUUUCUCAAAAGCAUUGCACCAAUAUAGAUCAUUUGAAAUACAAACUCAUCUAGGUGACCUUGGUAUGGGAAAUAUCUUCAGCUACAAACUCAGCCUUUCUGCUGGGACUCUGUUUAAUAUGACAGGACAACUGCAGGUGCAAGGUAGUGUCUACGAACAGGCUGUGGCAGUACUGCUGUAUCCAGUUCUGAUUUGCAGGGGGAGCCAGGAAAGCUAUUCAGUGGAAGGAGCCAAAACCAAUAAAAGAGGCUAAUGUUGGUCAGGUGAGGUUCCAGUUUGUCAUAUUGGAAGAAGAGAAUCCAUUAGUGGAUUAUUGGAAGGUGAAGGGAGGACCAUGUGACCAUGUGAAGAUGCCAGUGUCCAGUGGAGUGACUGGGAAGGAAUGGUUAGAGGUGAAUAUUUGGCUUCCACUAAACUUUUCUUCUCUUUUAAAAACCGCUUCUUCAUUGACCUGAACUAUGAAAGCUGCUAUAUCUAAAACCCCAUCAGAUGCAAUUUGGAUGAGAAUUUUAUUCCAUUUUUUGAGAACCUGUAAAUUCAAAUGAAAUUGGGUUGUUCUGUGUGGUUUUUUGUAUGACUAGUUUGGAAGAAAAUUGUGAUUCAGUUCUUGGUGUCAGAAAGUUUGUUAAGUGCUACAGAGGAAGCAAACCAUGAAGGAAGACACAGCUCUUGAGUGGCUGAGUGGUUCAGACUGAGAAGUGCUCAGGCUUCUGAAUUCUCUGCUUCACAAGUCCCACCAGUUCUUCACCUCAUCAGUUUCAGAUGGACAGUGCUCCCAUAAAAGUCUUGAAACAAGAUACUGAUUUUGGAAGUGUUGGCCUCAAAAUAUUCUCCUUGAUCCUUCAAGGACCACUGGGACAGAAGUGUGCGUAGUACAGAAGAUCCUCAAGUGAAAGGCAAGGCAUGUACAGCAGAAUUUAAAACUUCCUUGUAUUUUUGUCCAGUCACAGCAGACAGUGUACUUCUUUAUGCUUUUUGGAAAUGCAUACCCAGGACAGAAUGUGGAUGAGCUCUCAGUAGACUUAAUAAAGCUAAUAUGCAAAUUUUUUAUGAA
This is a non-coding RNA of Cyanistes caeruleus (blue tit), 2686 nucleotides long. Lineage: Eukaryota; Metazoa; Chordata; Aves; Passeriformes; Paridae. The record is from RefSeq and is a predicted model, not a curated record.